Amphiprion ocellaris (clown anemonefish) is the source of this 991-nucleotide long non-coding RNA. RefSeq lists it as uncharacterized. The record is from RefSeq and is a predicted model, not a curated record. Lineage: Eukaryota; Metazoa; Chordata; Actinopteri; Pomacentridae. The transcript has 3 exons.
UAUAAUGACCAAUAAUAAACAAAAAAUUGAUUUUUUGCUGUUUUUUGAUGUUACAAGUAACUACCUGUUUUUCUGUAUUACAAAAAUCUGAUUUGGACAGAGACAAAAGAUCAAAUGUUCUUUUUUCUACUUGAUCUUACACAGGUCAAGAUGUCAGUGGUCUCCAUAAUUCCUCUUCCAGCAAAAACUCGAACGACUUGCUUCCUGGCAGAUGUUCUGCUACAGAUUUGAGUGACGGACAGCAUGACCAGAAGACAGGUCCGCUUCCUGAGCCGAUUUGGACGUGUUUGAGAGACUUUAUGGACUUCAACGGAUUUUAAGGACACUCUUUCAUGACAGGCAGUGCAACGAGCUCUCACAGCGUUAGCCUGGCGUGAUCUUGGUGUGAACUUGGGGUGUGUGUAAAGAUGAAAUCACUCCAAGGAUUGUGAAGAAUAAACGCCAGUUUCAAAAGAAUUACCUGCAUCUGUGGUCAAGAAGAGAGUUACAGUCAGAUAAUUCAGAUCCAUAGUAUCCCCUCACUGUUAUGGAAGUGACACGCUGUUAUAUGUCUCCCCUUCAAACUGACAACCAUUAUUAGCGAGGACAAUCUCUUUUAAAUCUGAGUUAUUGGUCCCAACAUCUCUGGUAGCUUGACCAAAUAGAUGAAGCAAUCUGAAAGAAAUCUCAAAGUUGUAUUUCUUUUUUGAUGCUCAAGUAAAGAAUGCUGUCCAAUCUUACUUCUGUCCACUGAAAUGAACACCAAGUUUAAAAUGUACGUGUAUGCCACUAGUUUGCCCCGAUUAUGCAUUAAAGUUUGUGUUUUUUUUUUUUUAUAGAAACAUUUUUAAAUCACUGAAUGACAUUUCUCCAAAUAAGGACCUUUUAACCCUUUGUGUCCCAAGACUUUCUCUCAGAUCAGUAAAUGGAGCUGUGAUAGUAAUUCCUUGGUUUUAGCUUGUGAACAAAUAUUAUCUAAACUUUAUCAUUAGAAUAUAGUAUAACGUUUACC